This 253-nucleotide ribosomal RNA is filed under the name uncultured bacterium. RNAcentral's name for it is "partial 16S ribosomal RNA". It matches the Rfam family "Bacterial small subunit ribosomal RNA", at positions 524 to 776 of the family's 1533-position model. The record is from RNAcentral.
UACGUAGGCAGCAAGCGUUGUUCGGAGUUACUGGGCGUAAAGGGUGUGUGGGCGGUUGUUUAAGUUUGGUGUGAAAUCUCCCGGCUCAACUGGGAGGGUGCGCCGAAUACUGAAUGACUCGAGUGCGGGAGAGGAAAGUGGAAUUCCUGGUGUAGCGGUGAAAUGCGUAGAUAUCAGGAGGAACACCGGUGGUGUAGACGGCUUUCUGGACCGUAACUGACGCUGAGACACGAAAGCGUGGGUAGCAAACAGG